CAAAGCGAACCGGGGGAACUGAAACAUCUCAGUACCCCGAGGAAAAGAAAUCAACCGAGAUUCCCCCAGUAGCGGCGAGCGGACGGGGAGCAGCCCAGAGUCAGCAUCAAUAUUUACCGCAGGAGAAGGGUCUGGAAAGGCCGGCAAUAAAGGGUGAUAGCCCCGUAUCUGAAGCGGUAAGUGUUGUGAACUCGAAGAGUAGGGCGGGACACGUGUUAUCCUGUCUGAAUAUGGGGGGACCAUCCUCCAAGGCUAAAUACUCCUGACUGACCAAUAGUGAACCAGUACCGCGAGGGAAAGGCGAAAAGAACCCCGGCAAGGGGAGUGAAAUAGAACCUGAAACCGUGUACGUACAAGCAGUGGGAGCACCCGAAAGGGUGUGACUGCGUACCUUUUGUAUAAUGGGUCAGCGACUUAUAUUCUGUAGCAAGGUUAACCGCAUAGGGGAGCCGUAGGGAAACCGAGUCUUAACUGGGCGUUAAGUUGUAGGGUAUAGACCCGAAACCCGGUGAUCUAGCCAUGGGCAGGUUGAAA
RNAcentral lists this ribosomal RNA (534 nucleotides) under Arsenophonus endosymbiont of Bemisia tabaci. RNAcentral describes it as "partial 23S ribosomal RNA". It matches the Rfam family "Bacterial large subunit ribosomal RNA", at positions 175 to 750 of the family's 2925-position model. Lineage: Bacteria; Pseudomonadati; Pseudomonadota; Gammaproteobacteria; Enterobacterales; Morganellaceae. The record is from RNAcentral.